This 59-nucleotide ribosomal RNA is filed under the name Phyllosticta citricarpa. Its description in RNAcentral is "partial 28S ribosomal RNA". Lineage: Eukaryota; Fungi; Ascomycota; Dothideomycetes; Botryosphaeriales; Phyllostictaceae. The record is from RNAcentral.
GUCACUAUUUUUCCAAGGUUGACCUCGGAUCAGGUAGGGAUACCCGCUGAACUUAAGCA